GCAAGGAAGGUUCAUCCAGACAAAAACCCUGGAGAUCCUCAAGCUGCUAAAAACUUUCAGGUAUUAGGGGAGGCUUAUCAGGUUUUGAGCGAUCCGGAGAAGCGAGCAGCCUAUGACAAAUAUGGCAAAGAAGGUGUCCAACAGGAUGCAAUGGUAGAUCCUGCAGCUGUAUUUGGUAUGCUUUUCGGAAGCGAAGUCUUUGAAGAAUAUGUAGGGCAGCUUGCACUUGCUUAUUUGGCAUCAAUCGAAGCUGACUUAGAAACAUAUGAGCCUGAUAUCAAAAAACAAAUUCUUCAAGACAAG
Long non-coding RNA from Raphanus sativus (radish), 303 nucleotides. RefSeq lists it as uncharacterized. Lineage: Eukaryota; Viridiplantae; Streptophyta; Magnoliopsida; Brassicales; Brassicaceae. The transcript has 3 exons. The record is from RefSeq and is a predicted model, not a curated record.